Harpegnathos saltator (Jerdon's jumping ant) is the source of this 3812-nucleotide RNA transcript. RefSeq lists it as uncharacterized. Lineage: Eukaryota; Metazoa; Arthropoda; Insecta; Hymenoptera; Formicidae. The record is from RefSeq and is a predicted model, not a curated record. The transcript has 3 exons.
GAGAGACAUGGAAUUGAGCACGAAAAAAAAUAGAGAAAGAAGAAGAGGACUCUCGUGCAAAUACCGAUACUCGAAGCAGGAGCCGAAGUAGCCGGCACAACGCAAACAACUCCGGAGUAACAACACGAUGAUCCGGCCGUAUUUAACGUCCUCGUUUCCCGGCCAUCUGACGCGCCAUCGCCGCAUUCUCGGCCUUUAAUUCGAUUGGCAUGUGAGAAAAUAUUCGUUUCUACAGGUAUAAAUCCGCCGGAGCCAUUGGCAUUUAAUUGGUAUUUACCUGAUAGUUCGCUUCGCGUAUGCCGAUGACCCUGACAUUUACCGCCGCUGCAUUUUGCAUGUGUUACGCGCAUACUCGUUUUUAAAGCGCCGUUCACAUCGCGAGCCGGCGAGAUCUCUCGCGGAGCCUUACAGGGCAAUCUCGAACGCGCGUCUCGACGCGGUUUCGAUUUUGCGCGUUUGCCAAGCCGAGAAUGAGCCGAGAGCGUGCUAGGCGGCGGUAACUCUCCAUUGAUAACAUUCGUCUCUCGUCGACGCGGCGCGAUGCGCGCAAGUGCAUGGAAAUGUGGAGCAAGGACUGUAUUCUGGAGACGCGGCGGAGGCUGCGUGGUGGAAACAUCGGGAUUUUCGGAUUUAGAAAGGUAUAUAUAUAUAUAUAUAUAUAUCGGCUUUGCUUAAUUUCUUCGAAGUAACGCUCAAAAUGCUGCACACGGUCAUCGGAGGUCUUCCUUGUACACGAAGAAGAAACAUUUUAUUUCACGCGUAAGAAAAAGAAAAUCAGAUGAAUAUUCGAUAACGAGGAACGAUGUCUCGGUUGCUGCAACAACGGAAACAACUCGAUUGACAUCACAGAGACAUCAGUCGACCGAGUAGCCAGCUGCUACGGAAAUGUUUCUGUCUCUACGAUAGAAUUCUCGUCUGCUCCCCAGAUCGUGCGAGGAAUCUCACAACUACGACGAGAGAAUAUUAGCGAUCGAGCGCGCGCGCCUCUCAAGCUGGAUUCUCGAGAGUGUAUUCUUCAUCCUUCUGCUUCCUGCUUUCCGCAGAUUAUAUCCUUUCAGAUGUCCACGUCUCCACGUACUCGCACGCGCUCGCUCGCUCGCUCGCUCGCUCGCGUAAAUAUGAUUCGUUGCAGCGCCCGUUUACACGUGCCGCGCGCUGCUUAUGCCCGAUCGUGCAAACCUGUUUAAAGCGCAAACAUUGAAUCACACAAGCUGGGCCCUCUGCGAUUGCGUUGUUGCACGCCGCGCGCUGUGUGUGUUGUUGCGUUUGUCCGUGAUUUGAAAGUAACGCGGCGAAAGUGAUUUUAAAAGAUCGGCUUUAUUUAUAGUUCGCGCUCGUCGCGCCGAGUCCAAUCUUUACGGCCUCUCGACGAUUUAUUUCGAUUUUUAUUCCAUUAUAUAACUCCCUCUCUUUCUUUCUCUCUCUCUCUCUCUCUCUAUCUCUCUCUCUCGCUCUCUCUCUCUCUCUCUCUCUCUCGCUCUCUCGCUCUCUCGCUCUCUCGCUCGCUCACUUUUUCUUUUUAAAAUUAGAUAUUCAACAAGUGGCGUAAGGUCGAUCGCAAACGCAAAUGCUCGCCGCUCUCGGCGCAGCUCUCGCUCUCCCUUGGAAAUGUCACUCCCCCUGAUCACGCAACACAGUAGCGAGAGCGGGCUUUUCUCUUUUCCAGGGGAACCGCGCGACCGUCGUGCCGGUGCACGCGAGGUGUUUGCAAUGUCCAUGCGAAUCGAGCGAAUGCGCGCGCGCGAGCCUCUGCGUGUUGUUAACUUGGGAAUGCCUCAGGGCCAGUACGCGUGAGGUUCCUUCACGUGGGCCCCUUGUCGGAAGGGGCCCGUAUAUGCUCGCGUUAUUUUCUCGCGGCGCGAUAAGAUCGGCGCCGCUAAAAAUAGCGUGUGCGCGCCGCCCCGCACCGAGGACGCCGUCGCGCCGUCGAGCCGUCCGCUUCGGGGUGCGGAGGUACCAAAAAUUCACGACGAGCGCCGCAACCUGGAUCUCGUUGGGACGAACGUGUAGCUGGAAGAAUGUGAAGCUCAUCGGGGUUGGCCUGACCACUUCGGUCUCACCAGCAUCUUCUUCGUCGCCAUCGUUACCACCGUUAUCAUUAUCAUCAUCAACAUCAUCAUUAUCAUCUUCUUCUUUUUCUUCUCUUCUUUCUCGUCUCUCUCCUCUCUCUGCCUCUCUCUCUCUCUCUCUCUCUCCCCCCCCCCUCCUUCUUCUUUGCAACGAGCUUCAUUCGCUCGUAUGUGUACGCGAACGUACGCACAAGCGGGCUGUUGACCGUUUUACAUAACGAGGAAAGAUACCGCAAGCUUUCACGAAUGCUAUCGCACCAUCAUCGUGAACGCUGCGCGAAGGGAACGUUCGCAACGCGUCCCGGAGGAACGGGAAACAGGACGAUAUCAUUUUUACAGGACAGAAUGCAGGCGCGAAGCACGCGCGCGCGCUCGAGCAACGGCAAAGUUAUCGAAAAUGAAGUAUAGCCUGUGCUUGCAGCGAAGGCCGCGGCAAGGCCGCGCGCUUCUUCGUCUCCUCGUCUCCUCCUUGAUGAUCCACUGUGAGUGAGACUCAGGACACGCGCACUGACAAUGUCGUACGUGCGAUAACGCGAGCAAAAUUUCCGUGAGCGGAAAGCUGAAAUCCAUGAAAGCAACGGCGGCGGCGGCGGCGGCGGCGGCGAUCGCGGCUGCAAGUUCGAUUCGUCGACGUUGUGGAUGCACGCUCGCGUGCGAGAGAAGACUUCACGCCGUCUCGGCCGCGAGAAACCAUCUUCGCGUCGAAAUCGCAGCCCGCCGUCGAAUUGGUACCGGUUUCCCGAGACUGGCAAAGAAUCCGGCCGUUUCACGAAGACGCCGUUUCGACACUUCCGACUAUCGGCAUAUUGGCGACGACCACGACGACGGCUGACAAUUCUGCGUUACGCUAAGUCGAACACGAGCGAGCGAGCGAGCUCUCGCACCCAUGAACGUGGGCGCAGAUUUUUUCAUAAAACGAGUCCCUCGACGCGGAUGCUCAACCGCGUAUCGGGAUCAAUGACACGCCUGCAGAUUCCCGCAGGGGUGUGUAUCCUCCACGAUCUGCGUGCGCCGGCGACGGCGGCGGUAGUGUGCGGCAUGUAGAAUUCCAAGCCGCCCGCCUUCCUCGACUUCGCGCGCGCAGCAGGACCUACUGGUUUCUAUUUAUACACCGCCAGAGACCUUGCGGACGCAGACGCUCGCUCGCGCUUAUGAACGCCGCCGCUCGCGCUACGCGAACAUGUCGCGACGCGAUAUCAAAUUUGCCACAUUGUAUCGCGCUCUCCUGGCAAACGUGAGGCUCAACCUCUUGAGCCGGUCGAGAAACGCCACAUUCACGAUCAAGUCGCACAGUAUAAGGAAAACACACAACGCAACAAAUCAAAAGAUUUCCUUAGGAUCUUCGGUGCGCUUAUGUAAGAACGAACAUUCCACUUCCGUCUCGAUCGUGGGAGAUAAUUGUUUAGAGAUUAUUGUUUUUUGUUUCUGGACUAGCUUUUUCGCUCGAUGCAUGUGUGAAUAUAUUAAAUUCGCUUCUAUAGAUAUAAAUCAACAUUUGUCAAAUUAUAAUAAUUUUUUAUGAUGUUUGCCAAGUUGCAAUCAUGUAAAUGCACAGACGCACGCAAGUGACAAUAGUACGUUUACAAGAAUGGAUUUUCCUCUGUAAUUUGCAUACUCGAUUACAGUGCGAUUAUCUUCUGACGAGUUACUCAGUGUUAAAGCAAAAAAUCAUAUAAACUUCGCUCACUGACUAUAGUCUGUCAGCACAUAUGAUAAUUGUUAAUAGAUAAGUAGAUAAAUCAA